UACGGAGGGUGCAAGCGUUAAUCGGAAUUACUGGGCGUAAAGCGCGCGUAGGUGGCUGAUUAAGUCGGACGUGAAAGCCCUGGGCUCAACCUGGGAAUUGCGUUCGAUACUGAUUGGCUAGAGUACGAGAGAGGAAGGUAGAAUUCCACGUGUAGCGGUGAAAUGCGUAGAUAUGUGGAGGAAUACCAGUGGCGAAGGCGGCCUUCUGGCUCGAUACUGACACUGAGGUGCGAAAGCGUGGGGAGCAAACAGG
This 253-nucleotide unclassified non-coding RNA is filed under the name uncultured Gammaproteobacteria bacterium. RNAcentral describes it as "contains 16S-23S intergenic spacer region". It matches the Rfam family "Bacterial small subunit ribosomal RNA", at positions 524 to 776 of the family's 1533-position model. The record is from RNAcentral. Lineage: Bacteria; Pseudomonadati; Pseudomonadota; Gammaproteobacteria.